GAUAAGAACGCAGCGAAAUGCGAUAACUAAUGUGAAUUGCAGAAUUCCGUGAAUCAUCGAGUCUUUGAACGCACAUUGCGCCCCCUGGUAUUCCGGGGGGCAUGCCUGUCCGAGCGUCAUUGCUGCCCAUCAAGCACGGCUUGUGUGUUGGGUCCUCGUCCCCCCCGGGGGACGUGCCCGAAAGGCAGCGGCGGCACCGCGUCCGGUCCUCGAGCGUAUGGGGCUUUGUCACCCGCUCUGCAGGCCCGGCCGGCGCUGGCCGACGCGAAAGCAACCAUUUUUUCUCCAGGUUGACCUCGGAUCAGGUAGGGAUACCCGCUGAACUUAAGCAUAUCAAUAAGCGGAGGA
RNAcentral lists this unclassified non-coding RNA (348 nucleotides) under soil metagenome. RNAcentral describes it as "partial contains 5.8S ribosomal RNA, internal transcribed spacer 2, and large subunit ribosomal RNA". The stretch from base 4 to 119 matches the Rfam family "5.8S ribosomal RNA", at positions 39 to 154 of the family's 154-position model. The record is from RNAcentral.